CUACUUUACAGGUGUAUUAACAUUGUUGGCCAAAUAAUGACCCUUUGUUCAAUAACAACAUGUGGAAGUGCAUCUCUCUAGGUCACUGUAGGACAAGGCGUCAUUCUCAGCCUCCUAAGCGAUUUUAACCAUUAUCAUGAGAUGUUAUUGCCAUUCCUAUUAAUAUAUAAUAUUGAUAUACCAUAUGUCCUGGGAUGGAGCUUCAAUAUUUGCCUAACUUUAGCUAUUUCUUACAUCAUUUUUAAACUUCAAAAUCACAUUUAAAUGAAUAACGUCUACUUCUUAAUCUUAUUCCAUAUUUCAUUUACCUCAUAAUAUUCAACUUCCAUUUUCUGUAUAGAUUGUGAGGCCUAGAGCGCUGCUUCCUGUUUCUCACAGUUUGGUAGCCAUUGACUUCUAGGAUGUAGAAGUUUUCUAAAAAUUGCUUAGACUUAAUUCAUUCUGAACGUUCAAAUCCGUGGGCAGGAGCGACAGAAAAUUCCUUGAACUUACUCCAAGGAGGGCAAUCUGUUUAUGAUGUGUUGACAUGGCAACAGUUACCUUGGACACCCAGCUUCUUCUUGUUUUCAUCACUCUACCUUAUUUUUGCCCUUUAAUAUGCAGCAUCCAGCUCAUGCUGUGUUGCAGGGAUUUGAUACUGUAUUUCUGACCCUCUCCCAUUACCCAUGGCCACAUAUAACAAUAUACUCUGUAUAAAAUGGUGUUCUGCAAAGUGAGCAAAAUCGGGAAGAUUCUAGAGGGACUUUGAAACUUGGACAAAUGGACCAACAAAGGUGCCUUGUUGUUGCACUAUAAUAAGCCUGGAUAACCAUCAAGGUCUAAAAAUACCAACUUAGGCUCUAUUUUUGGGCCCUUGCAUCUGAAGGCUUUUGUGCACAUGCUGGUGGGUUUUGAACUUACAGAGGAUUUGUGUCCUUACAGACAAGGAUAGUUGGAGCUCCCCACUGACCUUUCAGAGUUCAGACCCUUUGCUGUUGAGUUUACUGUUGGCUGUGCUGCCUUUCCUCACUUUAACGGAGUUGCCUGGUCCUGAAAUAAACUAUAGGUUUGUCAGCAUUGUCAUGUGAAUUGUUUUUAGACAUUGAAGCCUGUCUUUCAUUUCAAUGAUAAGCGUAAAAACCCACAUUCUUUCUGGCCUGAAGAAUUGGAAAACAGUUUGAGGGAUCCACAGACUCUUGAAAUUGAAGGGAGAAUCCAAUUCUGCGUAAAAUUUUUGCCUGUAUCCCUACUGAUCCCUGAACGACACGUGUGGGGCAGACAGCAAAGAGGACAUGGUAAAGAAAUAAAGAAUUGAAAUGGGAUUUGAGCUGCUGCACAAGGACUUUAUAAUUGGAAACUGUAGGGGAGGAGGACAUUUCCUCUACCCACUCUGGGGAGGUCCUUCUGGCCAGGCUAUGAAUUAAAUUGACAUGAGACAGAAUAAUAGGAGAAAAUCAAACAAAGCUUUAUAACAUGUCUACAUGGGAGACACUCAGGAAAACCUAGCAACAUGCCAAAAUGGUGGAGGGUUUCAUCUUAAAUACCAGCUUCAGCUAAAGAUAAAGGAGGAUGUUGGGAUGGGGGUGGGGGGGGGAAUCCGUUAUGGGAGAUCACCAGAAAAGCACAAUAAACAAGAGUAAGGUUAUUAUGCAGAUUUAAGUCCUUGCCUUCCACAUUGAUAAGAGAUUUUAGAGAUAAGGUCAUUCUCCUCUUCUUGGUACAGUUGGGGAAUCCCCUUACAAAUGUAAAUAUCUUUAGAAGGGGUAAGUAAUUUCUACUUUUCAGAGUUUCUCUCAUGUCUGCAGUUUUUAAAAGUAACCAGCCCAAAAUAAUCCUCAUCCCAAAGAGACACAUUUUGGGGUGGCCAAUUCCAAUCCCCCACAAAACCAACCAAGUUAAAUACCUGCUAAAACAAUAACCGCAAAAAUCAGCACUGUUCAGAGGGAAGUGACAGAAUUCUUAUAGAGCCUCUACAAUAUGAGGUCAUAAUGAACAGGACAUAAUACUAUAUUACACUGUAUUUUAUUCCACAAACAAAGAAUCAGAAUAAUGUGACCUAUUUUCAAAAGAAAAAUAUCAAUGUAGGCCUAUCUCCAAUGACCCAGAUUUCGGAAUGAGCAAACAAGGACUUUUAAGCAACUCUUGUAACAAUGCUCAUGAGGCCAGAAGCCUACUUUGAGAAUUGUGGAAUUUCUCUGCUACAGAGAUCUAUAAAUCCUGGUUGACCACAAAGACAUGUGAAACAUCAAGGAAGUGCUCCAGGACUCAGAUCUCCCACGGUUCAUUCAUUUCUGUGCCCACAUCCCUUUAACUGGUGAUAAUGGCAGGAGAUUUCUGGUCCUCAAGCUAAAAGCUUUAGCAUCUUCAGUGAUGAUUCCUGAUUCAUUGACAAUUCAAUGAAGAGUUGAACAAGUUAUUCAGAUUCUACCUCUGAAAUAUAUUUCAAGUUCAUCUCAGUUGAAGAUCUAAUGAUUUUCUUGGCCUAUAUAAUAAAGCCCAUAUCUUUAGUAAUACUCAG
Molecule: long non-coding RNA, 2497 nt
Organism: Equus caballus (horse)
Lineage: Eukaryota; Metazoa; Chordata; Mammalia; Perissodactyla; Equidae
Source: Ensembl